GACGAACGCUGGCGGCGUGCCUAAUACAUGCAAGUAGAACGCUGAAGGAGGAGCUUGCUUCUCCGGAUGAGUUGCGAACGGGUGAGUAACGCGUAGGUAACCUGCCUGGUAGCGGGGGAUAACUAUUGGAAACGAUAGCUAAUACCGCAUAAGAGUAGAUGUCGCAUGACAUUUGCUUAAAAGGUGCAACUGCACCACUACCAGAUGGACCUGCGUUGUAUUAGCUAGUUGGUGAGGUAACGGCUCACCAAGGCAACGAUACAUAGCCGACCUGAGAGGGUGAUCGGCCACACUGGGACUGAGAAACGGCCCAGACUCCUACGGGAGGCAGCAGUAGGGGAUCUUCGGCAAUGGACGGAAGUCUGACCGAGCAACGCCGCGUGAGUGAAGAAGGUUUUCGGAUCGUAAAGCUCUGUUGUAAGAGAAGAACGAGUGUGAGAGUGGAAAGUUCACACUGUGACGGUAUCUUACCAGAAAGGGACGGCUAACUACGUG
This 495-nucleotide ribosomal RNA is filed under the name uncultured bacterium. RNAcentral's name for it is "partial 16S ribosomal RNA". It matches the Rfam family "Bacterial small subunit ribosomal RNA", at positions 28 to 507 of the family's 1533-position model. The record is from RNAcentral.